GGAUGGACUCGCGGCCUAUCAACUUGAUGGUGGGGUAGUGGCCUACCAUGGCGUCGACGGGUAGCCGGCCUGAGAGGGUGACCGGCCACACUGGGACUGAGACACGGCCCAGACUCCUACGGGAGGCAGCAGUGGGGAAUAUUGCACAAUGGGCGGAAGCCUGAUGCAGCAACGCCGCGUGCGGGAUGACGGCCUUCGGGUUGUAAACCGCUUUUAGUGAGGAAGAAGCCGUGAGGUGACGGUACUUGCAGAAAAAGGACCGGCUAACUACGUGCCAGCAGCCGCGGUAAUACGUAGGGUCCGAGCGUUGUCCGGAAUUAUUGGGCGUAAAGAGCUCGUAGGCGGUUUGUCGCGUCUGCUGUGAAAUCUACAGGCUCAACCUGUAGCUUGCAGUGGGUACGGGCAGGCUUGAGUGGUGUAGGGGAGACUGGAAUUCCUGGUUUAGCGGUGGAAUGCGCAGAUAUCAGGAGGAACACCGAUGGCGAAGGCAGGUCUCUGGGCACUUACUGACGCUGAGGAGCGAAAGCGUGGGGAGCGAACAGGAUUAGAUACCCUGGUAGUCCAUGCUGUAAACGUUGGGCGCUAGAUGCGGGGAUCUUUCCACGAUUUCCGUGUCGUAGCUAACGCAUUAAGCGCCCCGCCUGGGGAGUACGGCCGCAAGGCUAAAACUCAAAGGAAUUGACGGGGGCCCGCACAAGCGGCGGAGCAUGCGGAUUAAUUCGAUGCAACGCGAAGAACCUUACCAAGGCUUGACAUGCACCGGAAUACCCUGGAGACAGGGGACUCUUUGAUACUGGUGUGCAGGUGGUGCAUGGUUGUCGUCAGCUCGUGUCGUGAGAUGUUGGGUUAAGUCCCGCAACGAGCGCAACCCUUGUCGCAUGUUGCCAGCACGUUAUGGGGGGACUCAUGUGAGACUGCCGGGGUCAACUCGGAGGAAGGUGGGGAUGACGUCAAAUCAUCAUGCCCCUUAUGUCUUGGGCUUCACGCAUGCUACAAUGGCCGGUACAGAGGGCUGCGAUGUUGUGAGGCGGAGCGAAUCCCUUAAAGCCGGUCUCAGUUCGGAUUGAGGUCUGCAACUCGACCUCAUGAAGUUGGAGUCGCCAGUAAUCGCAGAUCAGCAACGCUGCGGUGAAUAGGUUCCCGGGCCUUGUACACACCG
This 1159-nucleotide ribosomal RNA is filed under the name uncultured Microbacteriaceae bacterium. RNAcentral describes it as "bacterial SSU rRNA". It matches the Rfam family "Bacterial small subunit ribosomal RNA", at positions 223 to 1392 of the family's 1533-position model. The record is from RNAcentral. Lineage: Bacteria; Bacillati; Actinomycetota; Actinomycetes; Micrococcales; Microbacteriaceae.